AUGCAGUCGAACGAUGAAGCCCAGCUUGCUGGGUGGAUUAGUGGCGAACGGGUGAGUAACACGUGAGUAACCUGCCCUUGACUCUGGGAUAAGCGUUGGAAACGACGUCUAAUACCGGAUACGAGCUUCCACCGCAUGGUGAGUUGCUGGAAAGAAUUUUGGUCAAGGAUGGACUCGCGGCCUAUCAGCUUGUUGGUGAGGUAACGGCUCACCAAGGCGACGACGGGUAGCCGGCCUGAGAGGGUGACCGGCCACACUGGGACUGAGACACGGCCCAGACUCCUACGGGAGGCAGCAGUGGGGAAUAUUGCACAAUGGGCAAAAGCCUGAUGCAGCAACGCCGCGUGAGGGACGACGGCCUUCGGGUUGUAAACCUCUUUUAGCAGGGAAGAAGCGAAAGUGACGGUACCUGCAGAAAAAGCACCGGCUAACUACGUGCCAGCAGCCGCGGUAAUACGUAGGGUGCAAGCGUUGUCCGGAAUUAUUGGGCGUAAAGAGCUCGUAGGCGGUUUGUCGCGUCUGCUGUGAAAUCCCGAGGCUCAACCUCGGGUCUGCAGUGGGUACGGGCAGACUAGAGUGCGGUAGGGGAGAUUGGAAUUCCUGGUGUAGCGGUGGAAUGCGCAGAUAUCAGGAGGAACACCGAUGGCGAAGGCAGAUCUCUGGGCCGCUACUGACGCUGAGGAGCGAAAGGGUGGGGAGCA
Molecule: ribosomal RNA, 701 nt
Filed under: Plantibacter sp.
Lineage: Bacteria; Bacillati; Actinomycetota; Actinomycetes; Micrococcales; Microbacteriaceae
Description: bacterial SSU rRNA
Rfam family: Bacterial small subunit ribosomal RNA
Source: RNAcentral